Chinchilla lanigera (long-tailed chinchilla) is the source of this 1072-nucleotide long non-coding RNA. RefSeq lists it as uncharacterized. The record is from RefSeq and is a predicted model, not a curated record. The transcript has 2 exons. Lineage: Eukaryota; Metazoa; Chordata; Mammalia; Rodentia; Chinchillidae.
AGGAGAAUGCCAUACAUGUGUGUAGCCGCCAGGUGGCCAGGGCCAUUACCAGGAACCCUGAGAGGGCAGACACCACCCUACGCUCUAAGCAGACCACCAACGAGGAGUGCUCAGGGGUCGUAUGUGUCAAGUAUUUCGAAGAUCAGGAAAGCCCUAGGCCUAAAGGAAUGGAUGCUGGGAAGGACGCCCAGUCCCUUGUGUGGUUUUCACCGGAGUCUUGCCCAUCUGUGCCCAGCUCAGGAUAGAAACCCGCCAAGAGAAUGAGCCAGGCGGCUCCCACACUGUCGUUGAGCUUGCCACUCCCAGAGGACAGGAGGCCGAGGCUGCCAAGAGGCUUCUGAAUGGCUGGUCAGUAGGAAUGUGCCUACCCUGUGAAACAGUUCCUAGGAGCCAUGGUGGCACCUACAGGAGGUGCUGUCCAAACCACCAUGUUACCUUGGCAGCGAUGAGGAGAGAGAGAAAAGCCAAAUCCCCAAGCUAUAGGUCAGCUGAAACUGGCUUGUUUGGGCUGCUUCUCCUGGGGAGGUCAGAUAGGCAACAUGGUCUUGAGGCAGGAGACAAUGGCCCAAGGCUUUCCUCCCAUGGCAGCCCCAAACUCCUUGCAACUGGCUAUGUACAUCACCUGCCAUAGGCUUCUCUGGCAGCUACUUGUUUUGGCUAUAGUUGCUGUCCUUAGUGGAUCUAUCCCAGCUGAUCUGCCCUGCAUCCUCUCUAGAUGAUUCUGCCCUUGCAGCCAUCCUCCAUUAUGCCAAGGGCAGCCCCCCCCCCCAUGACACGAAGUCUGACACUGCUCAUGUGCAAACCCAUCUCUUUUCCUGUACUGAUAAGCUUUCCAUAUUCUUGGUGGAUUCAGCCUAUGUGCUAUUUGUUUGUUUUUGAGGCAGAGUCUCCCUUUAUAUUCCAGGAUGGCCUUGAACUCACUGUGUAGCCCAGGCUGGCCUCAAAUUCACAUUGCUCCUCCUACUUCAGCCUCCUGAUAAUAGGUGGAUAAUAGGUGUAAGCAACCAUGCUUGGCUGUGCUGUUCAUCUUCAUGCUGUAGCAUAUAUCCUAAUAAAGCCUCUUUCUGGAUGG